Molecule: ribosomal RNA, 567 nt
Filed under: uncultured archaeon
Lineage: Archaea
Description: bacterial SSU rRNA
Rfam family: Archaeal small subunit ribosomal RNA
Source: RNAcentral
CGGGGUGCAGCAGGCGCGAAAACUUUACAAUGCGGGAAACCGUGAUAAGGGGACACCGAGUGCCAGCAUCACAUGCUGGCUGUCCAGGUGUGUAAAAUACACCUGUCAGCAAGGGCCGGGCAAGACCGGUGCCAGCCGCCGCGGUAACACCGGCGGCCCGAGUGGUGAUCGCGAUUAUUGGGUCUAAAGGGUCCGUAGCCGGUUUGGUCAGUCCUCCGGGAAAUCUGACGGCUCAACCGUUAGGCUUUCGGGGGAUACUGCCAGGCUUGGAACCGGGAGAGGUAAGAGGUACUACAGGGGUAGGAGUGAAAUCUUGUAAUCCCUGCGAGACCACCUGUGGCGAAGGCGUCUUACCAGAACGGGUUCGACGGUGAGGGACGAAAGCUGGGGGCACGAACCGGAUUAGAUACCCGGGUAGUCCCAGCCGUAAACGAUGCUCGCUAGGUGUCAGGCAUGGCGCGACCGUGUCUGGUGCCGCAGGGAAGCCGUGAAGCGAGCCACCUGGGAAGUACGGCCGCAAGGCUGAAACUUAAAGGAAUUGGCGGGGGAGCACAAGGGCGAUUCGCG